Long non-coding RNA from Pecten maximus, 523 nucleotides. RefSeq lists it as uncharacterized. The transcript has 2 exons. Lineage: Eukaryota; Metazoa; Mollusca; Bivalvia; Pectinida; Pectinidae. The record is from RefSeq and is a predicted model, not a curated record.
AUUUUUAUAAGUCACGUGGUAUUUCGAAAACGAGGCAGUGAGAAAACGUCAACAGAAACACGUGAAUUUUUAGAGAUGUCCGAUUCAUCAAGCAGUCAAAGCAGUAACACGAUAGAUUAUGAAUAUGCACAAGUCCAUACAUCCCCAAGGAGGGGGAGGGGAUUAAGGAGGAGGGGAGGAACCUGUGGACGGCUAAGGGGUCGAGGAAGGGGUCUCGGGGCAGACAGCAGUCCAAGGAUGGAGAGGGCGAGGUAGAGGAAGGGGGCCAAGGGGUGCACGUGGUACAGUUGCAAUUGCUGUGCUGCAGCAGGAGGAUCGGGCCAGGGUACUGACAUUGCAACAGCAAAGGAGAAGGGAUCUACAUGAACCUUGCGCUCCUAUCAUACAAAGCUAAUAAUCAUAUUUUUGUAAUAUUAGUAGUGUGACUUUCUGUAUGCUACUGUUUUAUGAAUGUUAUCCACAAUUUACUUCAUCAUUCAAGUUAUUUUGACUAGUUGAUAAUCAAUUACAAAGUACUGUAUUA